This 377-nucleotide ribosomal RNA is filed under the name uncultured bacterium. Its description in RNAcentral is "bacterial SSU rRNA". It matches the Rfam family "Bacterial small subunit ribosomal RNA", at positions 524 to 898 of the family's 1533-position model. The record is from RNAcentral.
GACGUAGGGGGCGAGCGUUGUCCGGAUUUAUUGGGCGUAAAGCGCGCGUAGGCGGCCGCGUUAGUCGGAUGUGAAAACCCGGGGCUCAACCCCGGGCCGUCAUUCGAUACUGCGUGGCUAGAGGCAGGUAGGGGAGAUCGGAAUUCCUGGUGUAGCGGUGAAAUGCGCAGAUAUCAGGAGGAACACCGGUGGCGAAGGCGGAUCUCUGGGCCUGUCCUGACGCUGAGGCGCGAAAGCUAGGGGAGCGAACAGGAUUAGAUACCCUGGUAGUCCUAGCCGUAAACGAUGGGUGCUAGGUGUGGGGGGAUAUCAACCCCCUCCGUGCCGAAGCUAACGCAUUAAGCACCCCGCCUGGGGAGUACGGCCGCAAGGCUAAA